RNAcentral lists this ribosomal RNA (499 nucleotides) under uncultured bacterium. RNAcentral describes it as "partial 16S ribosomal RNA". It matches the Rfam family "Bacterial small subunit ribosomal RNA", at positions 30 to 523 of the family's 1533-position model. The record is from RNAcentral.
AUUGAACGCCGGCGGCAUGCUUUACACAUGCAAGUCGAACGGUAACAGGGUGCUUGCACCGCUGACGAGUGGCGAACGGGUGAGUAAUGCGUCGGAACGUGCCGAGUAGUGGGGGAUAACGCAGCGAAAGUUGUGCUAAUACCGCAUACGUACUGAGGUGGAAAGUGGGGGACCUUCGGGCCUCACGCUAUUCGAGCGGCCGACGUCUGAUUAGCUAGUAGGUGAGGUAAAGGCUCACCUAGGCGACGAUCAGUAGCGGGUCUGAGAGGAUGAUCCGCCACACUGGGACUGAGACACGGCCCAGACUCCUACGGGAGGCAGCAGUGGGGAAUUUGGACAAUGGGCGAAAGCCUGAUCCAGCCAUGCCGCGUGUCUGAAGAAGGCCGUCGGGUUGUAAAGGACUUUUGUCGGGGAGGAAAUCCCUAGCGUUAAUACCGCUGGGGGAUGACAGUACCUGAAGAAUAAGCACCGGCUAACUACGUGCCAGCCGCCGCCGUAA